RNAcentral lists this ribosomal RNA (386 nucleotides) under Procambarus clarkii (red swamp crayfish). RNAcentral describes it as "partial 16S ribosomal RNA". It matches the Rfam family "Archaeal large subunit ribosomal RNA", at positions 2017 to 2609 of the family's 2987-position model. The record is from RNAcentral. Lineage: Eukaryota; Metazoa; Arthropoda; Malacostraca; Decapoda; Cambaridae.
UUAUGACCGUGCAAAGGUAGCAUAAUCAUUAGUUUUUUAAUUGAAGGCUAGAAUGAAUGGUUGAACAAGAAAUAAUCUGUCUUAAAUUAAUAUAUUGAAUUUAACUUUUAAGUGAAAAGGCUUAAAUAAUCUGGAGGGACGAUAAGACCCUAUAAAACUUUAUAUUUAUAAUAUAGUAGUUAGUUUUAUUUAAGGGUAUUAUUUUAGAGUAUUUGGUUGGGGUGACAAGGAUAAAAUAUUAAAUAACUGUCUUUUUUUUUUUACAGUGAUGUUUGGUUUAAUGAUCCUAAAAGGGAUUAAAGAUUAAGUUACUUUAGGGAUAACAGCGUAAUUUUCUUUAAGAGUUCUUAUCGACAAGAAAGUUUGCGACCUCGAUGUUGAAUUAA